GAAUAUUGCACAAUGGGCGAAAGCCUGAUGCAGCGACGCCGCGUGAGGGAUGACGGCCUUCGGGUUGUAAACCUCUUUCAGCUCUGAAGAAGCGAAAGUGACGGUAGGAGCAGAAGAAGCACCGGCUAACUACGUUCCCGCAGCCGCGGUAAUACGUAGGGUGCGAGCGUUGUCCGGAAUUAUUGGGCGUAAAGAGCUUGUAGGCGGUUUGUCGCGUCGGCUGUGAAAACUCGGGGCUUAACCCCGAGCCUGCAGUGGGUACGGGCAGACUAGAGUGUGGUAGGGGAGACUGGAAUUCCUGGUGUAGCGGUGGAAUGCGCAGAUAUCAGGAGGAACACCGAUGGCGAAGGCAGGUCUCUGGGCCAUAACUGACGCUGAGAAGCGAAAGCGUGGGGAGCGAACAGG
RNAcentral lists this ribosomal RNA (405 nucleotides) under uncultured bacterium. RNAcentral's name for it is "bacterial SSU rRNA". It matches the Rfam family "Bacterial small subunit ribosomal RNA", at positions 359 to 776 of the family's 1533-position model. The record is from RNAcentral.